GAUGAACGCUAGCGAUAGGCCUAACACAUGCAAGUCGAGGGGCAGCACAUGAGUAGCAAUACGAUGGUGGCGACCGGCGCACGGGUGAGUAACACGUAUGCAACCUACCUCUAACAGGGGGAUAACCCGUUGAAAGACGGACUAAUACCCCAUAAUACAGGGGCUCCGCAUGGAGAUAUUUGUUAAAGAUUUUAUCGGUUAGAGAUGGGCAUGCGUUCCAUUAGCUAGUUGGUGAGGUAACGGCUCACCAAGGCGACGAUGGAUAGGGGAACUGAGAGGUUUAUCCCCCACACUGGAACUGAGACACGGUCCAGACUCCUACGGGAGGCAGCAGUGAGGAAUAUUGGUCAAUGGGGGAAACCCUGAUGCAGCCAUGCCGCGUGUGUGAAGAAGGCCUGGUUGUAAGACACUUCAGUAGGGAGGAAGGGUAGGAAGUGUCUAAUACGCAUCAACAUUAGACGUUACCUACCAGAAGAAGGACACCGGCUAACUCCGUCGCCACG
RNAcentral lists this ribosomal RNA (503 nucleotides) under uncultured bacterium. Its description in RNAcentral is "bacterial SSU rRNA". It matches the Rfam family "Bacterial small subunit ribosomal RNA", at positions 28 to 519 of the family's 1533-position model. The record is from RNAcentral.